GCCUCCGCUCCUCUGAUUGGCCUCUCCUCUGUUUCACUCUGCUUUUCCCUUUGCCCGCUUUGCUUCUACUCCUCUCACUCGCCCGCCCGCCUCUCUUUCCUCGCCCCUUCCUUCGCUUCGGAUUCCCUCCCAUCCCGUCCCCUCCCCCCCGGCUCUCUCGCUCGCGCACCAACCCAAAACCCUAGCCAGCCCGCACGCCCAUGGCGUCGUCCCCCGCGCGCCCCGCCGCCGCGUCCGUCUCCGGCGCCUUCGGCCUCCCGCCCGACGCCCGCUGCUCCUUCGACCAGACGCGCCGCCGCGCCGAGGAUUCGCAGGACAAGAGGCAGCUGGUGCGGACGUUCGUCAACGUGUACGGCCAGGAGGGCUACCCCAAGGAGGCCGUCAUGGCGGCCGUCGAGGAGUGCAUGAGGAAGCAGGCCGAGGGACUGCUGCAUUCGCUCGAGGGCAUCGGGGGGAGGCUCUCGCAGCUCGAGCUCUACUGCUACAAGCUCGAGCGCUCCAUCGGGGAGCUGCGCAGCGACGUCAUGGACUACCACAGCGAGGGCACCGUCAACUUCCGCUGCCUCGACAAGAAUCUCAGACAGGUUCAGAAAGCUGUGCAGAUGCUUCAGGAUAAGCAUGAGCCUGCUGACACGGCGCAGCAACUGGCCAAACUUCAAAUAGCGCAUGAAUUCCCUGCUAGAACAAAUGAAGCCACUGCCUUGUCGAUGCUUGCUUCAAGGGAAAAUGUCAACGAUCAGAGCACACAAUUCGCCAACCCUGAGGUUUCUUUUGUGCCAAUUCACCAAGUUAAUACCAUGCAGUCUCCUGCUAUGCCGAACCAAAGUAGCGGCGGUUAUAUUCUGCAGCAACUAGUGCCCGUCUCUUUGAGCACGCAACAUGAUCAGCAACAUCCGAGCCAAGCUGCGGUGUACUAUAUGCAAAGCCAAAGUCAAGUGAACUGCACAGAGAACAAACCGUCCGAGUCUUUUGUUCAGGUUAUGCAGCCGCAUGUCCAGAACCCUGAAGCCAGGGUUGCAGUUGAGCUACCUCAGAAAUCUAGUCAGCCAACGGAAAUGUACCCUCCACUGCAGCAUCAUAUGCUACAAAUGCCUGCUCAGCAUCACGAGUCACAGGCAUGGCGAUCACAGCCACCUGUCGCGCAACAGCAGCACUACAGUGUUCAGCAAGUCCCACCACAGAUGGUUCAACAGAAAACAUCUUCUCCUCAUGCUCAAAGUACUCCUCAAGUCACGCUCAUGUAUCCUCAAUACUCUUCUCAGAAGCCUGCCAAUGCUACCACUGAGCCACUUCCGAGAAGUUUGGUUGGGCAGUCUCCAUACUCUUCACCCCAGCAGAAGCAUCAUGAAGUCAUGCCUUCGUUUUAUGGCCAAGGCAACACAAUUUUGCUUCCCACGGCAGAGCAUAAUAUCCAGCAUCAACAGCCACAGCAACUGCAAACGCAGAGCCAGGCCUCAUGCCCACCUCAACCAAACAAGCCCAGCCACUGCAGUGUUGCAUCAUAUGCUGUUCAGGGUAGUGGCCGAGCCCACACUGCCACAUAUAAGAAUCCUGCUGAGAGCCCUGCAACUGUUGUUGCUGUUCUGCCUCAGCAUUCGGCAACAGCUCCUAUGGCGUUUCAUCAUUUGGGGCAACAAAUCUUGCAUAAGAAUCCAUAUGGAAGUAUGUUUGAAACGACCAGUGUAGUAGGGUAUCCACAUGAUCUGGUUGGGAGUAUGACGCUUCCAGUGGUGACUGCGGACUCCAGUAACAUGGUUGAUAAGCUCAAUGCUGGUAGCAAUGUUACAUCCCCGCGAGACUGGCCUGCAUAGCGCAGAAUGGGCAGUUGUUGGGUACUUCAUUGUUACCACAAAACUUAUUUCCAUGACUAUAGCUGGAAGCUUGUCGGCUCUCACCCGGGUAUUUCAUCUGGCUUCCUUUUUAUUAGCCAGCAGAUUGGUACAGAUCCUUCUACUGUUUUUUCUGCUGAAGGGUCAAUCUGAAAUAAAAAUGAUAGAUUAGUCUAGUGAUGAUGCUGGCGUAUGUCCUCACUUUUAAUGGACAUAUCUUGCUUGUAACCGACAGUUGGCGAUGAACCUGUGCCUAUGCGAUAUGAAUAUAUGACGAGUUUACAUC
This 2115-nucleotide ribosomal RNA is filed under the name Triticum aestivum (bread wheat). RNAcentral's name for it is "partial small subunit ribosomal RNA". Lineage: Eukaryota; Viridiplantae; Streptophyta; Magnoliopsida; Poales; Poaceae. The record is from RNAcentral.